Paramisgurnus dabryanus is the source of this 977-nucleotide non-coding RNA. NCBI's taxonomy places the organism in Eukaryota, Metazoa, Chordata, Actinopteri, Cypriniformes, Cobitidae. The record is from RefSeq and is a predicted model, not a curated record.
ACUAAAAUUAAAAAAAUUGGUUAACACGACCACUCGUGGUGGCUUCACUCAGAGGUUGGAGAAGACAACAGGUGGACUAAACAUCAAGCCUCUGCACGAUUCAGGUAAGUGGAAUAAAAUACAUUGUAAAUAAACAUUAUUAAAACAGAUUGUGAAGUCAUUCAUUCAAAACUUGCUAUGACCUAAGCCUAAAUGACUUAAUUUCUUUUUAGAAUUAAGACAACCUUAGCAGGAGAGCCCCAGCAGUAACUUUCUCUCAAGCAGAUGAGCAAUAAGUUGCUUUGUAUGAACACCACCCUAACAAUCAAGUAGCCUGUUAACAGUAGACCAAAGGUAUGAUGAUCAAUUAUAAAUGCAAUAUGGUUGAAAGGUCAGUAAACAAACAACAAAAAGGUAAUUUCUUAAUAGAAUGUCUAUACAUUUUUUGCUUUUGUUACAUAUUUCAUACAUCAAAAUCAUUAAACGUUAAUAAUUAUGUAUUCCAACUUGUUGCAGCUUGACAAAAAUGUAGCUUGAAGAAGAAGGGACAGCUGAGUAACAAAGUCCUGGUACGCAGACGACGAUACUUUUACACUGACAAGAGUGUAAUGAUGAUGGAGACACAAGCCAGAGAAAGGGGGACCAAACACCAGGCCAGAAUUCUGCAUGAGUCAGAUCCAGUGGGUGCAGAUCAUCAUACAGAUGGUUCAAGUGUGGAUCCACCUAAUAUUCAAGGUAAAAGAGCAUUUGUUCACAGCAUUAUCUAAGAAAACAUAUCACUAGAUAUUACAUAUUAGAUGUUAAUGUCUGACUCUGAUCCAUACGAAACAGAUUUUCUGUCCUGGGACACUCGGCUAACCAUCAAGAAAGAACACAGUAGGUUAACAAGAAUCUGACCUCACGUUUGAUCAUUACAAAAUUAUGGCAGUACAUUACACAUUUAAGGACUGUUAUUCCUCUGGCUGAUUUAAAAAUACCCAAAAGUUCUUAAAAAGAAG